GGUUUGUGUGUCAUUUAAAAAAAAGAAAUAGAAGAAAAAACUGAAAGAAUGAAGGACUAGUUUCAUUGUAGCAAUUGUUACACUGAGAAGAAAAAACUGAAAGAAUGAAGGACUUCAUUACUUGUGAUUGGAAAGAUAUUGAAUGGGGCAAGUAGAGAGAAGUACAUUUUGUAAUGUACCCAUCAAAGGUGUCAUAUUUUUAUAUUACGUGUCAAUAUUAUGUUUUGAUAUGUCUAAAUAUACAUGUAUGCAUUUAAUAAAGUAAGUGUACAGUAGCAUGCAUGCUCACGUGAAAUAUGUUUACUAUAGAAGAGCUGUAAAUAAUGACUACAACUUGAGCCUCUACAACUAUGCUAAGUUCUUGUCAAUCUCCAACAGACAAUGACAGCAACUCUAUAGCCACAAAAACAAAAACAAUCCCCCUUUUUUGGAGCUUAAAGACAAAGGCCUUAUUGUGGUAAAGGAACAUGAGUUACAGGGAGCCUUUGAAGUAAACAAAAGAUUAAUAGACAGGAAGAGCAAAUGCUAAAUGAACAAAGAUGAGUAUGUGACUCAGAGGUUCUUGUCAACAUGGCUGUAUUAGAAAGUAAAAAAGUAUGUGACUGAAAGAACUUUAUCUUGAUAAUGACAAUGUAAAUUUGUUACUUUGAUAUUAAUUCAGCAUGCAAGUAGUGUGGGUACAAGCAAGUGGACAUGCGCAAUUGCGUGCCUGAUGAAUUUGAUUUGUUAUUUCACGAGUUAUAGCUUAUCAGUACUGUUGCAUGGAAGCAAAGUGGGGGCAAAACAUAUCUUCAGGAGUAACCAGUUGGAAUAUUUAUUUAUAAAAUAGAAAUGAAGAGGGUAAGGAGAGAAUACAGGAAGCAGCUUACCUACUAAUGUAUUACAUUCAAUAAUUAUAGGCCAUUCAUGAGCUAUAAUCAGAAAGACUCCUAAUAUUAGUUCUUCAUCUGAGCAAGUUUAAAACAAAAAGUCAAGCAAAAAUGGCAAGUUUCUUUGACAAAGGCAAUGCUUUAUUCUUUUACGAAGCAAUACAAAGAACAACUAGGCAUUAAAUGCUCAUCCUCUCAACCAGUCACAAUGAGAACAUGGCUGCUCUUUAUACAGGAGGCAGCUUGCCGCUUGCAACCAAGUAAUGUAUGGCCAAAAUAAAACUGCUUGCAAAGCAACAAGUUGCCUAUUGUACAAAGGCCUUUAGACAAUAAAGAAGAAGCUGCUAGGCAGAGCAAUUUUUCCAACUACAAACUACCAAGCCAGUGGAUGUAUAGUCGUUGUUGCCAACUCUAGAAAAAAGUAAACAACCAGUAAAAAAACUACAAACAUGAAAAAUGUUUUUGGAAGAAGUACUUGAGAAAAUGAAUAAA
Long non-coding RNA from Amphimedon queenslandica, 1361 nucleotides. RefSeq lists it as uncharacterized. Lineage: Eukaryota; Metazoa; Porifera; Demospongiae; Haplosclerida; Niphatidae. The transcript has 2 exons. The record is from RefSeq and is a predicted model, not a curated record.